This is a long non-coding RNA of Falco peregrinus (peregrine falcon), 2349 nucleotides long. RefSeq lists it as uncharacterized. The record is from RefSeq and is a predicted model, not a curated record. NCBI's taxonomy places the organism in Eukaryota, Metazoa, Chordata, Aves, Falconiformes, Falconidae. The transcript has 3 exons.
UGGCCAGAGCUGCUGGGCGUGCUGGCCAUCAGCUGCUGCUCCACGAGAAUCCGCAUCCCUGCUUCCAAGGGCAGAGGUUUCCCAGCCUUGCCUUCAUCCCAUGCCUCCUCUGGCUAUGAACUGCGACGCUUACCUUCCGCUGCGCCGGGGCCGGCGGGGACGCUCCGGGAGGAUGCUCCGGGGGGCAACGCUCCGGGGGGCCGGUCCCGUGGCGGGGGACGGUGCGAGCUGCCUGCCGAGCACCCGCCGCCCCCGGCCCGCCGCGGCCCCGCUCCGCAACGCCACCGCGCUGCGCUUUCGCUUUCCCUUUCCCUCCGAAACAGAAGGGGCGGCCCCGGCCGCCGGCCGCCCUCCGGGGAAGGGGCUGGGGGAGCCCGGGGGACAAGCCGACCCGGAGCCCGGGCACCCAGGACCGGUGGCCAACGCGACUGCUCGCACCCAUGUAACAAGAUGAGUUUACUCCUUCCCCAGCUGCCUGCGCCGGGGUGUUUCCCGGGACUUGCAGCACAGCGGGCAAGGAGGUACCUGGGCUCUUCAGCAGAGACACCUGGAUGCCCGCGGGUGGGCCACAGCCCCACUCCCCCCGGGUGAUUUCCCACCUGGGACUUGAAGGAGAGGCGCCUGGGAUGCAGGGAGGGAGUGCCCUCACGGAAAGCAGCGGUCCCCUAACAGAGGGGAGCUCCUCACCCACCCCCCUCUAACUGUAAGCAGGAGCUGUAUGAACUCCUGGGGCAGAGGGGGGGAAGCUACCAGAGCCAUGAGAUUUCUGAUGGCUAAGGACAAUUAGUGAAUAAAUCAAAAGGAAUUUAACUUGGUUCACCCCAGGGUCCAGAUGGUCACAAUUAAGCUGCUUCACGAAGCCUCGCAUCCAGAGCCAACAGAGAAGGGGGGAGAGAAGGAGCUUCCCCCCACGGCCAAGGCCACCACGGAGAGCUGGGGCUCUCAACAGCAAUUAGCAGGAGCGAAAAACCUCCUCCUCAGCUGUUCUGCUUUAGUCCUCCUGCACCUUCCAGGAGGCAUACUGCUGCUCGGGGAACACUCACUUAAUGACUGCAUGCUUUAAAGCUAUUUUCUUCAGGAAUUUAAUCCGUUACCUGGUAUUCUUGGGCAUUUCUUGCUUAUCACUCUUCUUAUUUGCCUUGCCUCAAAACAAAGCUAAUACAGGAGCUAGCAGCAGGUAUGCUUGCAGUUUUGCAGUAGGCAAAGAGGCAAGCGAUGGGGAUAGGAUCUGCUAACACAGAAGGUCAAAGAUAUAUGGUGCAAGUGAGGCAGAAAAGCCACCUCCCUACAGCUCUGGCUCUACAUCCCCAGACUCUGCUGGCUCAGCAUGGUGCAGUCUCUGGCUCUGAUAGAAAAACUGAGCUGUGGGAAAUGUGAGCAACUUCCCAAGGAAACAGCCCCCAGUCCCAGUACAGCAUCCCAUGGGCUACACAGGUUUCCAAGUGCUUAAGUGACCUGGGAAUCCAAGGCACUGCUUCAAAGGUGACUUGUUACCUGAGUUCUGGCUGCUGGGGAGACAUGGCAAAACACCAGUUACCUAAUCAUAUUUGAAGUGUGGGUCAUGGGAACCGGUCACCAAGAGUUACUCAGGCUGCUAAUUGUCUCUGCAGCACCGGGGGGGUGGGUGGUGUGUGCCUUGGGUUGGGCUUACUCCUGCCACUUGCCCUUUGUAAACUUUCAGACUCUGCCCUAAGCGCCGUCCCUGGCUGCCAGGUCCCUCGGGUGGCAUCUUGCGCACAGCUCAGAUUUCUGCAAGACUUUUAACUGUCAUCCUUGACAAAACUGCAAAGCAGGGAACUUGGGAAGUGUCACUUAGACUGAUGGAUUCAGAAAGAGCAAAGCACACGUGUGGCCGCGUGUUUGGGUUAACACCUAGGCUGUGGCGAUCAAUAACCUUCAUCGUGCAAGCCUGGGUACUGCGUACAAACAGCGUGUGCCUUACCAAGGACUGUACCCUUGAAGAACAAAAAGACUGAUGGAAGUGGAACAUCCUGCCAUAGAAGGUGCCAGAGGCUGGAAGUCAGCAAAAGUCACGGUAACUAGGGGAAAGGUGAUGGAGGCAGGGGGAGACUGUGACCACCACCUCAAUUUAAGACUGGAAAGACUUGCCCCCGCACCCCUGCAAGGAGCACACAUGCUAAUCUACAUGCAAGUAAGACUAAUUUGGAUAUAAUUAACCCAUAGCAGAUGGGUUGGUAACUACUAACUAAUGAGCAUGAAUUUAGGCAGGUUUUUCCAAAUCAUGUAAUAAGAUAAAUAUGCUGAAGUUCUUUUGGAUGGUUGGCUGGCUUUGUGGAAUACCACUUAGUCUCCAGCUUUGCAUGAAUCUGUAAUAAAGAAAUACCUCCA